CCUACGGGUGGCAGCAGUGGGGGAUAUUGCACAAUGGGGGGAACCCUGAUGCAGCGACGCCGCGUGGGUGAAGAAGCGCCUCGGCGCGUAAAGCUCUGUCAGCAGGGAAGAAAAUGACGGUACCUGAAGAAGAAGCCCCGGCUAACUACGUGCCAGCAGCCGCGGUAAUACGUCGGGGGCAACCGUUAUCCGGAUUUACUGGGUGUAAAGGGAGCGUAGACGGCUGUGCAAGUCUGAAGGGAAAGCCCAGGGGUGAAACCUGGGACUGCUUUGGAAACUGGGGAGCUAGAGUGCUGGAGAGGGAAGUGGAAUUCCUGGGGUAGCGGGGAAAUGCGUAGAUAUUAGGAGGAACACCAGUGGCGAAGGCGGCUUACUGGACAGUAACUGACGUUGAGGCUCGAAAGCGUGGGGAGCAAACAGGAUUAGAUACCCGGGUAGUC
Molecule: ribosomal RNA, 440 nt
Filed under: uncultured bacterium
Lineage: Bacteria
Description: partial 16S ribosomal RNA
Rfam family: Bacterial small subunit ribosomal RNA
Source: RNAcentral